GUGCUAGCUUCAGCAGCACAUAUACUAAAAUUGAAACGAUACAGGGAAGAUUAGUAUGGCCCCUACUCAAGGAUGACAUGCAAAUUCAUAAAGAAUAGAAGGGAACUU
Molecule: small nuclear RNA, 108 nt
Organism: Dromiciops gliroides (monito del monte)
Lineage: Eukaryota; Metazoa; Chordata; Mammalia; Microbiotheria; Microbiotheriidae
Source: RefSeq, a predicted model, not a curated record